GGAUAACCUACAGAGAGAAGGCUUUGUAAACUGGAAGUGACUGGCGCGAGUGGCUUUCACUUAUACACAAACACAGCGUUUUGUCAUCUGGGAGUGCUGAAAGGAUUGUUCAUUGCUGCUGGAGGAAGAUCAUGGACUGUCCCGGGAAACUGAAGUGGUUGAGUAUCCACUAGUCGUGGAUGAGAGCAGUGACUUAGCAGUUUUUUGCGAAUUACAUAUCUCUUUGAUUAUGUUGUGACUAGUUUUGUUAGUAAACUGAGAUAGUCAUUUAGUGUUUGGGAUACCUGUUAAGCCCCUUGUCCAGGGACUGUGGUUGGAUUUAUGAAUUAUUUGGACGGUUGUCCACUUGAAAGAACUGACAGUAGCUUCAUAACAAUGUCACAAAGCUCGUUCUAAGAUUAAGCUGUUGCACCUAUAUUUCCCAUUAGUGCUUAAUUUUUGAAGUAUUAUUCUUAUUUUUAUGAAUCAAGCCCUGGAAAAGGACAAGGUAUUUGAAUGAAAUAGCACCCAUAAUGGAGAACUUUACAGUUGCUACUGCUGUGAUAGGUUUAUCUUAGUUUCAUUGUAGUAUAAAAGGAAUAGCAGGUGUUGUCAGGUACAAGGUUUGUAGUUUGCCAGUAUGUUCCUUACCAACACUGCAGAUUCCCAUUGAGUUGGUGGGGGUUUUGUUACCUUUGUUUUUUUUCUCAGCAAAAUAAUUAUAUAACUUUUUGUGACA
RNAcentral lists this small RNA (718 nucleotides) under Pongo abelii (Sumatran orangutan). Its description in RNAcentral is "processed transcript". The record is from RNAcentral. Lineage: Eukaryota; Metazoa; Chordata; Mammalia; Primates; Hominidae.